Molecule: ribosomal RNA, 483 nt
Filed under: uncultured bacterium
Lineage: Bacteria
Description: partial 16S ribosomal RNA
Rfam family: Bacterial small subunit ribosomal RNA
Source: RNAcentral
GACGAACGCUGGCGGCGUGCCUAACACAUGCAAGUCGAGCGGGGAUUUAAGUGGAAGUUCUUCGGAAUGGAGAUUUAAAUUCUAGCGGCGGACGGGUGAGUAACGCGUGAACAAUCUGUCCCGGACAGGGGGAUAACACUUGGAAACAGGUGCUAAUACCGCAUAAGACCACGGCCUCGCAUGGGGCUGAGGUAAAAGGAGCAAUCCGGUUCGGGGUGAGUUCGCGUCCGAUUAGCUAGUUGGUGAGGUAACGGCCCACCAAGGCGACGAUGGGUAGCCGGCCUGAGAGGGUGAACGGCCACAUUGGAACUGAGAGACGGUCCAACCUCCUACGGGAGGCAGGAGGGGGGAAUAUUGGGCAAGGGGCGAAAGCCUGACCCAGCAACGCCGCGUGGGGGAAGGAGGUUUUCGGAUUGUAAACCUCUGUCCUAUGGGAAGAAGGAAGUGACGGUACCAGAGGAGGAAGCCCCGGCUAACUACGUG